This is an RNA transcript of Perognathus longimembris pacificus (Pacific pocket mouse), 1089 nucleotides long. It is a transcript of the gene named nuclear inhibitor of protein phosphatase 1-like, with no coding region annotated. The record is from RefSeq and is a predicted model, not a curated record. The transcript has a single exon. Lineage: Eukaryota; Metazoa; Chordata; Mammalia; Rodentia; Heteromyidae.
AUGGGAGUGGGAGAAACAAGAUGGUGGCAGCCACUAACUGGCUCUAGCCUCCCACUAGACUGUCCAGGGCAGUCGAACCUCCAUCUGGCUUACAUCUGGAUGUAGUCAAAGGAGACAAGCUAAUUGAGAAACUGAUUAUUGAUGAGAAGAAAUAUCACUUAUUUGGGAGAACCCCUGAUUUGUGUGACAUUACCAUUGACCACCAGUCUUGCCCUCGAGUCCACGCUGCCUUGGUCUACCACUAGCAUCGGAAGAGAGUUUUCCUGAUAGAUCUCAACAGUACACGUGGCACUUUCUUAGGUCACAUUCGGCUGGAAACUCACAAACUCCAGCAAAUCCCCAUCACUUCCACAGUCUCAUUUGGCGCAUCCACAAGAGCAUGCACGCUGCGGAAGAAGCCUCAGACAUUGCCAUCAGCUGUGAAAGGAGAUGAGAAGAUGGGUGGAAAGGACGAUGAACUCAAGGGCUUACUGGGGCUUCCAGAAGAGGAAACAGAGCUGGAUAACCUGACAGAGUUCAACACUGCCCACCACAAGCAGAUUUCAACCCUCACCAUUGAGGAGGGAAAUAUCGACAUCCAGAGACCAAAGAGAAAGAGGAAGAACUCCCGAGUGACAGUUCAAUAAGGAUGAUGAAAUCAUAAACCCAGCGGAGGUGGACCCCUCGGUUGGUCACUUCUGGAACAUGGUACAAAUGGCAGUGGUCCCGGUAAAGAAGAAGCAGGUGGAGGGCCACGGCUCCCUGGGCCUGCAGGAGCCUUGAAGCAGACGCAUGCAGAACUUUGUCUUCAGCCGAGGACUAUAUGGGGGCUUGCCCCCCACGCACAGCGAAGCAGACUCCCAGCCACACGGCAUCCACGGGAUGGCGCUCAUCAGGGCCUUGCCCAGGCCGUACCGAACCUUGCUCCUGAGGUGGACUUGACUCCUGUUGUGCCAUCCGCAGUGAACAUGAACCCCACACCAAACCCUGCUGUGUAUAAUCUGAAAGCCAUAAACAAGUCCAAGAAGAAGAAAUAUGCAAAAGAGGCGUUGCCGGGCAAGAAGCCCACCCCUUCCUUGCUGAUUUGAUCGUGGUGAUUGCAGAGAAGGG